RNAcentral lists this ribosomal RNA (529 nucleotides) under uncultured bacterium. RNAcentral describes it as "bacterial SSU rRNA". It matches the Rfam family "Bacterial small subunit ribosomal RNA", at positions 351 to 895 of the family's 1533-position model. The record is from RNAcentral.
GCAGUAGGGAAUUUUCCACAAUGGGCGAAAGCCUGAUGGAGCAACACCGCGUGCAGGAUGAAGGCCUUCGGGUCGUAAACUGCUUUUAUUUGUGACGAUUAUGACAGUAGCAAAUGAAUAAGGAUCGGCUAACUACGUGCCAGCAGCCGCGGUCAUACGUAGGAUCCGAGCGUUAUCCGGAAUGACUGGGCGUAAAGAGUUGCGUAGGUGGCAUGUUAAGCGGGUAGUGAAAUCUUGUGGCUCAACCAUAAGGCUAUUACCUGAACUGGCAAGCUAGUGUAUGGUAGAGGUAACUGGAAUUGCUAGUGUAGGAGUGAAAUCCGUAGAUAUUAGCAGGAACACCGAUGGCGUAGGCAGGUUACUGGACCAUUACUGACACUGAGGCACGAAAGCGUGGGGAGCAAACGGGAUUAGAUACCCCGGUAGUCCACGCCCUAAACUAUGGAUGCUAGCUGUUAGGAGUAUCGACCCUCUUAGUAGCGAAGCUAACGCGUUAAGCAUCCCGCCUGAGUAGUACGAACGCAAGUUU